AGACCACCAGACCACUGUACUGGGAGAGACCAGGAUUGGACAUUGGUGGUGUUUGGCCCCUCUGGACUCCAGUCUGGAGAAGGAGAGGUCACCCUGAUGGUAUUCUGGGGCUCCAGGUAGACUGAUCCCAGUCGGGCCCUAUCGUCAAUCAACCGACCUGCAGGAGUUUAUUGGAAAACCCUCUAGAGGACUGACCUCUAUGGUCCAGGACAUCAGUUCCAGGUGUCAGGUGUAUACACAGUUAAACUCCAAGGCAAGACCAAAAAAACAAAGAUUCUUCAGAGUGAGAUCCAGGCUGCAAAACUACAGGCUUGAGAAAAAAAACCUUUGUGACAUUCCAGCCCCACAGUUUCAAGCCAGGAGACCUGGUCCUGAUAUACUUGGUUUGCUUGUACUGAGGACUUGACUAAAUACACUCCCAAAUCAGUCUUGGCUACCCAAUCUGCCACUUUAUUUUGUGUCACCAUGUAUGUUGUUCCACAAGUCUUGUAUUAUAAUAAAAAAGGGGGCCAUAAACAUCUGGGAUCAACAACUGAACACUAUAGGAGUAAAUGGGCUGGCCCCAUUUUAGUGCCAAUUCUGGUAGGAUUAGGAAUAACUGGGUCAGUGGCUAUUGGAACUUCCUCCCUGAUCCUUCAGGACACAAAUUUUAAAGCCCUAAGCCACCAAGUAGCCAGAGAUUUGGGUCACUGAAAGACUUGAUCUUCAGAUUUAAAAAAACAGGUUGAUUCCCUAGCUGAGAUGGUCCUGCAAAAUCAAAGGGGACUUGACCUCCUGUUCAUAAAGCAAGGAGGGUUAUAUGUAGCCCUAGGAAAAAAAACCCUGUUGCUUCUAUGCUAAUGGUUAACUACCCUAGUUUUUGCUGUAACAGGCC
This 874-nucleotide long non-coding RNA is filed under the name Heterocephalus glaber (naked mole-rat). Its description in RNAcentral is "lncRNA (ENSHGLG00100037965.1)". Lineage: Eukaryota; Metazoa; Chordata; Mammalia; Rodentia; Bathyergidae. The record is from RNAcentral.